RNAcentral lists this ribosomal RNA (856 nucleotides) under Aculops sp. GD119 2. RNAcentral's name for it is "partial large subunit ribosomal RNA". It matches the Rfam family "Eukaryotic large subunit ribosomal RNA", at positions 366 to 944 of the family's 3401-position model. The record is from RNAcentral. Lineage: Eukaryota; Metazoa; Arthropoda; Arachnida; Trombidiformes; Eriophyidae.
AAAUAGAACUUUGCAGAGAGAGUUAACAGGGCGUGAAACCGUUAAUUGGCAAACGAAUCGGAGCCACGAAGUCGUUUCGCUGUGAGGCUUGAGUUCAAAUGGAAUCGAGAGGUUCUGUUGUAUUCUCCAAGUCAACCACACAUUGUAAACGUACACUGCAACCAGUUAGACAAUUGGUGAUGGAAUCAGCUUUAAUUGACAUUUGGGUUAGUAAUAACUUGGUGCGCCUUGUGUGCAUUUGGGUUAUUGGGCCCCUUUGGGUGAACUAUUACCAAAUACUGACUGGCAAAAUAAAAAUCAUCAUCCUUUGAUGUUAUACAAAAUGCGAUAGUUAACAUAGCUAACUACAUGAUUAACCAUCUGGUCUAAGCUCAGUAAUUUUGAAUUUGGACUUUCUUGCUACCAAUGGGGCAACUCUUGGUGCUUGUUUAGCUUCCAUCUAAUCGGUUAUUGACUUGGCUGGGUGUUGAUUAAUUAUGCUACGAUUGGUUAAUUAUGUUAAAUUAUUUGCAAUUUAAUUGGCAGUGAGUAGGUCGGCUUUCCGAACGACCCGUCUUGAAACACGGACCAAGGAGUCUAAUUAGGCAUCAAGUCGAUCGGUCUUGAAUAGGCCAGUUGAAGGCGUAGAGACAUGUGAUUGGUAGCGCAAGUUAUUCACGCAACAUGUGCCUGCUCGUAUAGUAAUGUUAGCAAUAAUUACUGGGCGGAGUAAAGAGAUGCCUGAUUGGUACCCGAAAGAUGGUGAUGCUUGGGCAAGUUGAAGCCAGAGGAAACUCUGGUGGAGGACUGUAGCGAUUCUGACGUGCAAAUCGAUCGUCAGACCUGAGUAUAGGGGCGAAAGACUAAUCGAACCAUC